GGGUCAACAAUAACACCUAAACUUGUCUGGAGGAGAGAUGAUGACAUAAAAAAACAUGCUCAGUAGCAUUAUGCUGAGGCUU
Molecule: small nucleolar RNA, 82 nt
Organism: Loxodonta africana (African savanna elephant)
Lineage: Eukaryota; Metazoa; Chordata; Mammalia; Proboscidea; Elephantidae
Gene: SNORD115
Rfam family: Small nucleolar RNA SNORD115
About the family: HBII-52 is a member of the C/D class of snoRNAs, which contain the C (UGAUGA) and D (CUGA) box motifs. HBII-52 is encoded in a tandemly repeated array with another C/D snoRNA, HBII-85, in the Prader-Willi syndrome (PWS) region of chromosome 15.
Source: Ensembl